UACGGGGGGGGCAAGCGUUGUUCGGAAUUACUGGGCGUAAAGGGCUCGUAGGCGGCCAACUAAGUCAGACGUGAAAUCCCCAGGCUCAACCUGGGAACUGCGUCCGAUACUGGAUGGCUUGAAUCCGGGAGAGGGAUGCAGAAUUCCAGGUGUAGCGGUGAAAUGCGUAGAUAUCUGGAGGAAUACCGGUGGCGAAGGCGGCAUCCUGGACCGGUAUUGACGCUGAGGCGCGAAAGCCAGGGGAGCAAACGGG
This 253-nucleotide ribosomal RNA is filed under the name uncultured bacterium. RNAcentral describes it as "partial 16S ribosomal RNA". It matches the Rfam family "Bacterial small subunit ribosomal RNA", at positions 524 to 776 of the family's 1533-position model. The record is from RNAcentral.